AGCGAGUCUGCCUUGAAGAUCGGAGUGCUUGCACUCUGUGAAACAAGAUACAGGCUAGCGGCGGACGGGUGAGUAACACGUGGGUAACCUGCCCAAGAGAUCGGGAUAACACCUGGAAACAGAUGCUAAUACCGGAUAACAACAGAUGAUGCCUAUCAACUGUUUAAAAGAUGGUUCUGCUAUCACUCUUGGAUGGACCUGCGGUGCAUUAGCUAGUUGGUAGGGUAACGGCCUACCAAGGCGAUGAUGCAUAGCCGAGUUGAGAGACUGAUCGGCCACAUUGGGACUGAGACACGGCCCAAACUCCUACGGGAGGCAGCAGUAGGGAAUCUUCCACAAUGGACGCAAGUCUGAUGGAGCAACGCCGCGUGAGUGAAGAAGGGUUUCGGCUCGUAAAGCUCUGUUGUUGGUGAAGAAGGACGGGGGUAGUAACUGACCUUUGUUUGACGGUAAUCAAUUAGAAAGUCACGGCUAACUACGUGCCAGCAGCCGCGGUAAUACGUAGGUGGCAAGCGUUGUCCGGAUUUAUUGGGCGUAAAGCGAGUGCAGGCGGUUCGAUAAGUCUGAUGUGAAAGCCUUCGGCUCAACCGGAGAAUUGCAUCAGAAACUGUCGAGCUUGAGUACAGAAGAGGAGAGUGGAACUCCAUGUGUAGCGGUGAAAUGCGUAGAUAUAUGGAAGAACACCGGUGGCGAAGGCGGCUCUCUGGUCUGUUACUGACGCUGAGGCUCGAAAGCAUGGGUAGCGAACAGGAUUAGAUACCCUGGUAGUCCAUGCCGUANACGAUGAGUGCUAAGUGUUGGGAGGUUUCCGCCUCUCAGUGCUGCAGCUAACGCAU
RNAcentral lists this ribosomal RNA (836 nucleotides) under uncultured bacterium. RNAcentral's name for it is "bacterial SSU rRNA". It matches the Rfam family "Bacterial small subunit ribosomal RNA", at positions 56 to 860 of the family's 1533-position model. The record is from RNAcentral.